UAUCAUCAAUCCCGUCGGGUUUGCGCCCGCAUGGGGUUGGACCUGGGGGCCUGCUGCCUUUUGGCGGCUCCCCUUAAAUGCAUCGGUUUGGCCCGCUCCCAAGGCGUUGUAUCAACCUCGCCUCCGUGGUCCGGAUCCGCCCUCGCCGUGCCGACCCCGACCUGCCCGUGGGGUGGCGGUCUGCUCAAUCUUGACAA
RNAcentral lists this unclassified non-coding RNA (197 nucleotides) under uncultured Trechisporales. Its description in RNAcentral is "sequence contains ITS2". The record is from RNAcentral. Lineage: Eukaryota; Fungi; Basidiomycota; Agaricomycetes; Trechisporales.